Molecule: unclassified non-coding RNA, 861 nt
Filed under: Hevea brasiliensis (rubber tree)
Lineage: Eukaryota; Viridiplantae; Streptophyta; Magnoliopsida; Malpighiales; Euphorbiaceae
Source: RNAcentral
CCAACCAAACAACAACAUUUUAAUCGUACCCUCAGAAUCAUCAGCACAUAGCCUUCACAGGAACUUUGACAUAAAAUAAUAGGUUUCACAGCAUAUAAAGUCAAAUUAUAAGGAUAACAUGCAAGCAAAGCAUAGGGCCACCGAAAGGCCAUUUGUAUAUACAUCCCAACACUUCAUGUUCAGCAGUUCAUUAGGUGCCAAGUCUUUGUGCUCAAAUUUUUGCCCUACACGUGAGAAGUCAAUCCCUUGUGCUGUUCUUGAGCCAUUCUAGGUAUGGAAUGCUGCCACCAGUUAUAGGCAAGGAGAUUACUUCUGGUACCUCAUAUUCAUGAUUUGCCUUGACAUGCUCUGUUAGUGCUUCCAACAGAGAUUGCCUAGUCUUGAUUAUAAGUAGCUCCUCUGAAUCUGUCUGGACCUCUCCCUUCCACUCAUAUACUGAUUCAAUACCUGGUACUAUGUUCACACAUGCUGCUAGUUUCUCUUUGAUUAUGCUUUGAGCCAACUUUUUUCCUGCAUCUCGGUUAGGGACAGUAACGUACACAACGAUACUGGGUACAGUGUUGCCACUUGCUUCCAUUUUGAUAGUAUUAGCUUGCGAUUGGGUGCUAAACUUUGAUCUCAACAGAGAUACAAAGGGGAGAGAUUGAGCGCAACCCGUCUUGAGGGAAGAGGAGAGAGUGGGGCAAAGAUUGGAGAGGCCGAAGCUCAGCAUGCAAAAUGCCCCAACUAGGGGCAAACGCCUUCGAAUUGCAGAAGAAGAGAAGACAGAUGCAGCUCCAGCCGAACACAUGGCGUAAGCCAUUCUGUGUUUAUAUACACCGACGGUUUCAUUUGCUUGGGUUCGGAGCCAUGCUCUGAUAC